Cinara cedri is the source of this 226-nucleotide non-coding RNA. The record is from the annotation of a GenBank genome assembly. Lineage: Eukaryota; Metazoa; Arthropoda; Insecta; Hemiptera; Aphididae.
AGUAAAGUAAUGAAAGAAGAUAGGAUAAGGAAUAAGUAUAUAAGAGGUAAUAGCUUAGGCGUGGCGUUAGUAGUAUGCAAAAGGAGAUAAAAUAAUCUAAGGUGGUUUGGGCAUGCUGUGAAGAGAGAGGAAUCAGAAGCAGUAAGAAUUGUAAUGAAAAUAAAUGUUGCCGGUAAGAGGGAGAGAGGAAGGCAAAAGAGGUAAUUGGAUGUAUGUAAGAUAGGAG